RNAcentral lists this long non-coding RNA (1051 nucleotides) under Brachypodium distachyon (stiff brome). RNAcentral describes it as "long non-coding RNA (BDIS_LNC002009)". Lineage: Eukaryota; Viridiplantae; Streptophyta; Magnoliopsida; Poales; Poaceae. The record is from RNAcentral.
GCCGUCUUGGUGAGAUUUCCCAUUCCACAAGCAGUGCAAGCCCCAUUCACCACCUGAAUUUGAGCAUGGAAAAUGAUAUUGCUAUGAAUAUUUUGGUGUCUAAUUUGCUUAUUGUUAUGUAACACUUGGGCAUCCAUGUUACCGUUUCAGUUAUGGGGAGGAAAGGACCCCUGCCAUUGUUCUGGGAACACUGAGGAACAGGUGCAUAACUCAUAAUGGAAUGAGCAACCAAUUAUUUUUUAGCACAUGCGUGUGAUUAUGAGUAUUCAAAGUUCUUGUUUUAUCCCCCUUGAGGGAACUAUGAUAAAAUAGGAACGUGCUACUUUGCUUACUUUUGUUUCCUCAAUAAUAUUGGUUCCUCAAUAAUAAGAAAACAGAUGUUAGAUAACAACUAUAAUAUACUCUUGAUAUGCUAUAUACACAUGCUACUUUUGUUUCCUUGAUAAUAAUAAAACAGAUCUUAGAUACCAACUAUAAUAUACUCUUGAUAUGCCAUAUACACAUGCUACGUAGAAUAGAGAGAAACACACGAAAUGCACCAUGUUCAUACAAAUGUUUGUCGUAAUGAAUGCACUUUUGCCCCCACUGAAAAUAUGGACGUCAGUUUCAUCCACCUGUUCCAUAUUGCCAACUUGAGACCAAACUCAACCAAGAAAUGAAUUUCCAUGAGUGUGCCAGUACAGCAAAAUAAUAAAAAGAGAGGAAAAACUAUGGCCUCACCGAAUUCAAAUGUUUGCUCGUCAGAGAGAAAUAUUCAUUUCAAUUGAUGUUGCACAUUCUGAUCACCGAAAUCGUAACUUCGAAUGGUCAUUGGUCAGCAUGUGACAAGUUACUACACUUGGGGUUCUACACUACCAGCUUUCUUGUUCAUUUGUAACAACAAGCAGCUCCACAAAAUUACUCAUUAAUUCAAAAAACUGACCUGGGAUGACCAUAUUCUUUGGCAAUCUUGUUGCAAGAGCAAUACAAUCUUCACAAAUCCUACUAACAGUGGCUGAUGACGUCAGAUGCUCUUCUUCCCCAGCAGAUGUGGUUCCUCCAACAAAUUGAA